CAGCAGUCUCCUCUCACAUUGCUUGCUUUCUUUUGUAUCCUGUUCCUUAUUCCCACUGGAUUUAGGGGAGGAGAGAAAGCAUCAGGAUGCCAGGACAGCAACACCGGAACAGAACAGAGAGAUGCUGGAUGACGCUUCUCUUAGCCAACAGCCUGUCCCGUGAUUUCCACGCGAUUCCCUCUAGACCUGGAUCUUCAGCCUCCUGCCCUCAACCUAACCAGAAGCUGAUGACAGCCACAUCAAGAGGAGUUCUGAAAGUGGCAUCUGGAUGGAAAGGGAGCCUCUUGGGCACUCCAGCGGCUAGCGAGACCCUCCUGCCUUCUGAUUGUUCAGGUGUCUAAUGAAACUUUCAAGUCACUGUGCUAGGUGCUGUGCAGGAGACAGAGGCGCCCGAGGAAUGGGCCAGAUCUCAUGGACCUUUCAGUGACAGUUAAGAUGGGAAGUAGGAUGCAUGACUCAAUCACCCAAGGAAGAAACCCACAAGGAAGGUAAAAAUAAGUCUGUGGAAUCUGAGGUGAGGGAGAAGAUGGAUCUGCUGAAGGACUCAGGGUGGUACUUGGGCCCCGUCUUGAAGAAGUUGGAUAUGAGGGAAUAGAGGAAAAUAUGGUGGUAAGAAAGCACAUUCAGGGAAGGAAAUAUGAAGCAGAAUAUCAGGUGCUAACACCGGAAUGGCUCAGAUCAAAUUAUAACAGAUCUUGAAUGCCAGCCAAGAAGCUUGCACUCUAACUGGUAAGUAGGAAGCUCCAUGAAGGAAGAACUUAUACAAAUUUCCAAUUUGUUGAACACGUAUUGAACUCUUUUUCAAAAGUGAAUUCUCCAUCCCUGCAGGUUUAAGCACCAAUUGGAUGUGCUUUUAGCCAGCUGUCUACUUAGGGUUUAUAGAGAUUCAUCAAGGGGAUUCAUGCAUGGACUGAGUCACUGCUGUGGUUACCUCUGAUUAACGUUACACAAUCAGGAUUUUGGAACCAGAAAUUGACACCAGUAUCAUAGGAGGGAAGACUGUAUUUCUUUUUGUAUUUUGUAGGUGCUAAAUUAAUGCUUUUGCAAUUAACAAAUGACAUGAACAGAGUCGUGCUUCAGAAAAAGGAAUUCUGCAGGAAGGUUUAAACUGAUUAGUCAGAAGGGAGAUACUGGGUAUAGCAAGACUGGUUAGGACACUAUUAAUCAUUUUCAAGGCCUAAACUAUGUUAAGUCUGAAUGGGAAAGAAAAGUAGAUAGACCUUAUGGAUGUAGAAUCAAGAUUACCAUUUUGUUGUAAUUAUUUAUGACUCUCUUCCUCAAUGGACUGAAAAUUUCAUGGGAGCAAGAAGUGUAUCUUAUUUGACUUUCUGUCCCCUCUGC
RNAcentral lists this long non-coding RNA (1341 nucleotides) under Sus scrofa (pig). Its description in RNAcentral is "lncRNA (ENSSSCG00050003705.1)". The record is from RNAcentral. Lineage: Eukaryota; Metazoa; Chordata; Mammalia; Artiodactyla; Suidae.